RNAcentral lists this ribosomal RNA (492 nucleotides) under uncultured bacterium. RNAcentral describes it as "partial 16S ribosomal RNA". It matches the Rfam family "Bacterial small subunit ribosomal RNA", at positions 29 to 507 of the family's 1533-position model. The record is from RNAcentral.
AGUGAACGCUGGCGGUAGGCCUAACACAUGCAAGUCGAACGGCAGCACAGUAAGAGCUUGCUCUUACGGGUGGCGAGUGGCGGACGGGUGAGGAAUACAUCGGAAUCUACUUUUUCGUGGGGGAUAACGUAGGGAGACUUACGCUAAUACCGCAUACGACCUACGGGUGAAAGCAGGGGAUCUUCGGACCUUGCGCGAUUGAAUGAGCCGAUGUCGGAUUAGCUAGUUGGCGGGGUAAAGGCCCACCAAGGCGACGAUCCGUAGCUGGUCUGAGAGGAUGAUCAGCCACACUGGAACUGAGACACGGUCCAGACUCCUACGGGAGGCAGCAGUGGGGAAUAUUGGACAAUGGGCGCAAGCCUGACCCAGCCAUACCGCGUGAGUGAAGAAGGCCUUCGGGUUGUAAAGCCCUUUUGUUGGGAAAGAAAAGCAGCAGGUUAAUACCCCGCUGUUCUGACGGUACCCAAAGAAUAAGCACCGGCUAACUUCGUG